CAGCAGCCGCGGGAAUAUGGAGGGAGCUAGCGUUGUUCGGAAUUACUGGGCGUAAAGCGCACGUAGGCGGUUAUUCAAGUCAGAGGUGAAAGCCCGGGGCUCAACCCCGGAACUGCCUUUGAAACUAGAUGACUGGAAUCUUGGAGAGGUCAGUGGAAUUCCGAGUGUAGAGGUGAAAUUCGUAGAUAUUCGGAAGAACACCAGUGGCGAAGGCGACUGACUGGACAAGUAUUGACGCUGAGGUGCGAAAGCGUGGGGAGCAAACAGGAUUAGAUACCCCCGUAGUCCCUGUCUCUUAUAC
Molecule: ribosomal RNA, 301 nt
Filed under: uncultured bacterium
Lineage: Bacteria
Description: partial 16S ribosomal RNA
Rfam family: Bacterial small subunit ribosomal RNA
Source: RNAcentral